Molecule: ribosomal RNA, 467 nt
Filed under: uncultured Sphingobacteriales bacterium
Lineage: Bacteria; Pseudomonadati; Bacteroidota; Sphingobacteriia; Sphingobacteriales
Description: bacterial SSU rRNA
Rfam family: Bacterial small subunit ribosomal RNA
Source: RNAcentral
GACGGGGCCCGCACAAGCGGUGGAGCAUGUGGUUUAAUUCGAUGAUACGCGAGGAACCUUACCUGGGCUCAAAUGUAUGUUGACGUAUUCUGAAAGGGAUACUUCUUCGGACAAUAUACAAGGUGCUGCAUGGUUGUCGUCAGCUCGUGCCGUGAGGUGUCGGGUUAAGUCCCAUAACGAGCGCAACCCCUAUCAUUAGUUGCCAUCAGGUCAAGCUGGGGACUCUAAUGAAACUGCCUACGCAAGUAGUGAGGAAGGUGGGGACGACGUCAAGUCAUCAUGGCCCUUAUGUCCUGGGCUACACACGUGCUACAAUGGCCGGUACAGAGCGCAGCGAGGCCGCGAGGCGGAGCGAAUCGCUUAAAGCCGGUCCCAGUACGGAUUGGAGUCUGCAACCCGACUCCAUGAAGUUGGAAUCGCUAGUAAUCGCGCAUCAGCAUGGCGCGGUGAAUACGUUCCCGGGCCUU